RNAcentral lists this transfer RNA (73 nucleotides) under Peptostreptococcaceae bacterium AS15. RNAcentral's name for it is "Eubacterium sp. AS15b tRNA". It matches the Rfam family "tRNA". From Rfam's summary of the family: Transfer RNA (tRNA) molecules are approximately 80 nucleotides in length. Their secondary structure includes four short double-helical elements and three loops (D, anti-codon, and T loops). The record is from Rfam by way of RNAcentral. Lineage: Bacteria; Bacillati; Bacillota; Clostridia; Peptostreptococcales; Peptostreptococcaceae.
GGAUCCAUAGCUCAGCUGGGAGAGCAUCUGCCUUACAAGCAGGGGGUCAUAGGUUCGAGCCCUAUUGGGUCCA